RNAcentral lists this ribosomal RNA (801 nucleotides) under uncultured bacterium. RNAcentral's name for it is "bacterial SSU rRNA". It matches the Rfam family "Bacterial small subunit ribosomal RNA", at positions 8 to 796 of the family's 1533-position model. The record is from RNAcentral.
AGAGUUUGAUCAUGGCUCAGGACGAACGCUGACGGUGUGCUUUAGACAUGCAAGUCGAACGAGAAAGCCCUUCGGGGUGAGUACAGUGGCGAACGGGUGAGUAACACGUGGGCAAUCUGCCCCUCGCAGGGGGAUAACCGGGGGAAACCCCGGCUAAUACCCCGUACGCUUGUGGAGUCGCAUGGCUCCGCAAGGAAAGGUAGCUUCGGCCAUCCGGCGAGGGAUGAGCCCGCGGUACAUUAGCUAGUUGGUGGGGUAACGGCCCACCAAGGCGACGAUGUAUAGCUGGUCCGAGAGGAUGAUCAGCCACACUGGGACUGAGACACGGCCCAGACUCCUACGGGAGGCAGCAGUCGGGAAUCUUGCGCAAUGGGCGAAAGCCUGACGCAGCAACACCGUGUGAGCGACGAAGGCCUUCGGGUCGUAAAGCUCUGUUGUUGGGGACGAAGGGUUAGGGGUUAAUAGCCCUGAGCCUGACGGUACCCUUCGAGGAAGCCCCGGCUAACUACGUGCCAGCAGCCGCGGUAAUACGUAGGGGGCGAGCGUUGUCCGGAAUUAUUGGGCGUAAAGAGCGUGUAGGCGGUUCGGUAAGUCUGCCGUGAAAACCCAGGGCUCAACCCUGGGCGUGCGGUGGAUACUGUCGGGCUAGAGGGUGGUAGAGGCGAGUGGAAUUCCCGGUGUAGCGGUGAAAUGCGCAGAUAUCGGGAGGAACACCAGUAGCGAAGGCGGCUCGCUGGGCCAUACCUGACGCUGAGACGCGAAAGCGUGGGGAGCAAACAGGAUUAGAUACCCUAGUAGUCC